CAGUCGAACGGUACAGGAAGCAGCUUGCUGCUUUGCUGACGAGUGGCGGACGGGUGAGUAAUGUCUGGGGAUCUGCCUGAUGGAGGGGGAUAACUACUGGAAACGGUAGCUAAUACCGCAUAACGUCGCAAGACCAAAGAGGGGGACCUUCGGGCCUCUUGCCAUCAGAUGAACCCAGAUGGGAUUAGCUAGUAGGUGGGGUAACGGCUCACCUAGGCGACGAUCCCUAGCUGGUCUGAGAGGAUGACCAGCCACACUGGAACUGAGACACGGUCCAGACUCCUACGGGAGGCAGCAGUGGGGAAUAUUGCACAAUGGGCGCAAGCCUGAUGCAGCCAUGCCGCGUGUAUGAAGAAGGCCUUCGGGUUGUAAAGUACUUUCAGCGAGGAGGAAGGUGGUGAGCUUAAUACGCUCAUCAAUUGACGUUACUCGCAGAAGAAGCACCGGCUAACUCCGUGCCAGCAGCCGCGGUAAUACGGAGGGUGCAAGCGUUAAUCGGAAUUACUGGGCGUAAAGCGCAC
RNAcentral lists this ribosomal RNA (521 nucleotides) under Atlantibacter hermannii. RNAcentral's name for it is "bacterial SSU rRNA". It matches the Rfam family "Bacterial small subunit ribosomal RNA", at positions 59 to 570 of the family's 1533-position model. The record is from RNAcentral. Lineage: Bacteria; Pseudomonadati; Pseudomonadota; Gammaproteobacteria; Enterobacterales; Enterobacteriaceae.